GACGAACGCUGGCGGCGUGCUUAACACAUGCAAGUCGAACGGAUUUUCCCUGCUUGUGUGUUGUUCUCGAGUAGGGAACUGGUGAGUAACACGUGAGUUGCCUGCCCUUUACUUUGGGAUAACUUCAGGAGACUGGGUCGAAUACCGGAUAUAAUCUCCUGCUGCAUGAUUUGGGUUGUAGAGUUUCGGCGGUUGGGGAUGUACUCGCGGCUUAUCAGCGUGUUGGUGUGGUAGUGGCUGACCAAGGCUUGGACGGGUAGCCGGCCUGAGAGGGUGACCGGCCACAUUGGGCCUGAGAUACGGGCCAGAGUCAUACGGGAGGCAGCAGUGGGAAAUAGUGCACAAUGGGCGGAAGCAGGAUGCAGCAACGCCGCGUGCGAGAUGACGGUCUUCGGGUUGGAAAAAGCUUGAGAGUGUGAAGAAGAGUGCGUGACGGUAAUGAGCCAAGAAGCAACGGCUAACUACGUG
This 468-nucleotide ribosomal RNA is filed under the name uncultured bacterium. RNAcentral's name for it is "partial 16S ribosomal RNA". It matches the Rfam family "Bacterial small subunit ribosomal RNA", at positions 28 to 507 of the family's 1533-position model. The record is from RNAcentral.